GGGGCCUUAGCUCAGCUGGGAGAGCGCCUGCUUUGCACGCAGGAGGUCAGCGGUUCGAGCCCGCUAUGCUCCA
Molecule: transfer RNA, 73 nt
Filed under: Bacillus haynesii
Lineage: Bacteria; Bacillati; Bacillota; Bacilli; Caryophanales; Bacillaceae
Description: tRNA-Ala
Rfam family: tRNA
About the family: Transfer RNA (tRNA) molecules are approximately 80 nucleotides in length. Their secondary structure includes four short double-helical elements and three loops (D, anti-codon, and T loops).
Source: RNAcentral